This is a non-coding RNA of Pangasianodon gigas (Mekong giant catfish), 81 nucleotides long. Lineage: Eukaryota; Metazoa; Chordata; Actinopteri; Siluriformes; Pangasiidae. The record is from the annotation of a GenBank genome assembly.
GCAGUGGUGGCUCAAUGGUUAAUGUGCCAGGUUACUGAUCAGAAGGUUUGGGGGUUCAAGCUCCAAACCCCCUCCUCUGCU